This 482-nucleotide ribosomal RNA is filed under the name uncultured bacterium. RNAcentral describes it as "bacterial SSU rRNA". It matches the Rfam family "Bacterial small subunit ribosomal RNA", at positions 8 to 518 of the family's 1533-position model. The record is from RNAcentral.
AGGGUUCGAUUCUGGCUCAAGGAUUAACGGCUGGCGGCAAUGCCUAAUACAUGCAAGUCGAAUGAAUUAGAUUCAUGGCAAACGGGGUGAGUAACACGUAGGUAAUCUAACCAUAAAGACAAAGGAUAACCAUUGGAAACGAUGGAUAAGACUCGAUAGGACACGAAGUCGCGAUGACUUUGUGUUUAAAGGUUACGCUUUAUGAGGAGCCUGCGGUGCAUUAGCUAGUUGGCGGGAUAAAAGCCCACCAAGGCGAUGAUGCAUAGCUGGACUGAGAGGUUGAACAGCCACAAUGGGACUGAGAACGGCCCAUACUCCGUACGGGAGGCAGCAGUAGGGAAUUUUCGGCAAUGGGGGAAACCCUAGGACCGAGCAAUGCCGCGUGAACGAAGAAGUAUUUCGGUAUGUAAAGUUCUUUUAUCGGGGAAGAUAAUGACGGUACCUGAUGAAUAAGCUCCGGCUAACUACGUGCCAGCAGCCGC